Molecule: ribosomal RNA, 499 nt
Filed under: uncultured bacterium
Lineage: Bacteria
Description: partial 16S ribosomal RNA
Rfam family: Bacterial small subunit ribosomal RNA
Source: RNAcentral
GAUGAACGCUGGCGGCGUGCCUAAUACAUGCAAGUCGAGCGAACAGACGAGAGUGCUUGCACUCUCUGACGUUAGCGGCGGACGGGUGAGUAACACGUGGGUAACCUACCUAUAAGACUGGGAUAACUUCGGGAAACCGGAGCUAAUACCGGAUAAUAUUUAGCUUCGCAUGAAGCAAUAGUGAAAGACGGUUCUGCUGUCACUUAUAGAUGGACCCGCGGUGUAUUAGCUAGUUGGUGAGGUAACGGCUCACCAAGGCAACGAUACAUAGCCGACCUGAGAGGGUGAUCGGCCACGCUGGGACUGAGACACGGCCCAGACUCCUACGGGAGGCAGCAGUAGGGAAUCUUCCGCAAUGGACGAAAGUCUGACGGAGCAAUGCCGCGUGAGUGAAGAAGGUUUUCGGAUCGUAAAACUCUGUUGUAAGGGAAGAACAAGUACGUUAGUAACUGAACGUACCUUGACGGUACCUUACCAGAAAGCCACGGCUAACUACGUG